CACGUUUUGCUUUUCAUUUUGGUUGGUUGUUUGAUGAAAAUGGGGUUCUAUGUGAGUUUUGGGUUGAAGAGAUCUUAAGGUGUUGUGUGGGUGUUGUGGGUUUGGCUCUUUCCUUCAUAUUUCGGUUUUUAUGUUUGAAACUAGUUUGGAACCAGAGUUUGAUGAUGUUAUUUGGGCUGGAAAGUGCUUGAGUUGAAUGGUAUAAUGUUAUUUUCGUUUUUUGCACAAGAGCUUGAAGAAAUGGAAGAUUGGGUUGAGUUGAAGUAGUAGUAGUGUGGGUUUAUUGUGUUGAAUGGAGUUGAACUUUGAAAUGAGGUAUCUUGGGUGUAUGAUUUCGGUGUGAGGAAGAAGAAAGAGCUGGUGGAGUGUGUUGGAGAGUGAAAUUGCCGAAUGGGACAAGGAAAGGAAGAGAGAGGAGUGCAUUUAAGUUUUUACCACUUUUGGGCAAACAAAAAAAGAUGCUUAUUCUCAUUCUAGGAAGAUUUCCAUUUUAAUCUUUGUNUCUUUGCUUGCAAUUGCCGAGACUUCCCUUGCAAUGNANAAUGUUUNUAGUUUGUUUUCCUUGCUUUGACUUUGCUUACAUGUCAUCUUUGUUGGACCAUCCAAAGUAUCUUUCAUUUGCACAUUGGUUUUUGAAGCAACUUUUGUANAAGCUCUUGCAUUGUUCACGUGAAUUGUGUGCUUUGGUGUGUGCAUUCAGAANUUUGCUGCAUGGAGAAGGCUAAGGCACGGUUUUCAAUUGAAUGUUUAAGCAUAUUUUAAUUUGUUUUGAGAAUUGGUGCACAUGGGACAAAAGACUACACAUUUGGUGGUUAAGUGAAGAUAGAAUUUUGGAGUUGGACCCUUGAACAUGACUCACGGCCAUGUGCCUUGUCUUGGCCAUUUGGACUUUUAAAUUUAUUUGUUAAUUGUUAUUUAGUCAAAGUAAUUUGCUAGGAUUAAAUUAGGGUUGUUGGUUUCUCUUGUUUUCAAUUAAAUUGCUUAGUAGAUUGAGUUGUUUUGAUGUGUUAGAGUUAGCUUUGCAUUUUAUUAUUUUUAACUGCCUUUGUUAAUUAGUUUAUAACAGUAUUUGAUAUUUAAAUGUUGUCUAAGGUUUUUAAUAGUGUUAGUUUAAUUACCAUGCUAGCUCAAAUUGGUUUGUUUGCAUCUGUGUUAUAUUGAGUUCUUUAAUUUCUGCAAAAACCUUUCAACCUCCCCCCCUCUUUUUGUGCUAGACUUGAUUCUCGAACCGCAAAAUUGGUCUUUGGGAGACGACCUAGGGGUCAUUCCCUAGCUAUACUGCAUUCCUAAUAUGCAAUUAAAUUUGUAUGGGCC
Molecule: long non-coding RNA, 1314 nt
Filed under: Vigna radiata
Lineage: Eukaryota; Viridiplantae; Streptophyta; Magnoliopsida; Fabales; Fabaceae
Description: long non-coding RNA (VRAD_LNC015684)
Source: RNAcentral